AUUACCCAAUCCUGACACAGGGAGGUAGUGACAAUAAAUAACAAUGCCGGGCCUUUCUAGAUCUGGCAAUUGGAAUGAGAACAAUUUAAAUCCCUUAUCGAGGAUCAACUGGAGGGCAAGUCUGGUGCCAGCAGCCGCGGUAAUUCCAGCUCCAAUAGCGUAUAUUAAAGUUGUUGCAGUUAAAAAGCUCGUAGUUGGAUUUCUGGUGGGAGCGGUCGGUGCGGUCCUCAGGAUUGCUACUCGUACCGUCUCUCGCCAUCCUUGGGUCGAUCCUGUCUGGCAUUAAGUUGUCGGGCAGGGGAUGCCCAUCGUUUACUGUGAAAAAAUUAGAGUGUUCAAAGCAGGCUUAUGCCGUUGAAUAUAUUAGCAUGGAAUAAUAAGAUAGGACUUUGGUACUAUUUUGUUGGUUUGCGCACCAAAGUAAUGAUUAAUAGGGACAGUUGGGGGUAUUCGUAUUCCGUUGUCAGAGGUGAAAUUCUUGGAUUUCCGGAAGACGAACUACUGCGAAAGCAUAUACCAAGGAUGUCUUCUUUAAUCAAGAACGAAAGUUGGGGGAUCGAAGAUGAUCAGAUACCGUCGUAGUCCCAACCAUAAACUAUGCCAACUAGGGAUGAGUGGACGUUGCAUUUUCGACUCCAUUCGCACCUUAUGAGAAAUCAAAGUCUUUGGGUUCCGGGGGGAGUAUGGUCGCAAGGCUGAAACUUAAAGGAAUUGACGGAAGGGCACCAC
RNAcentral lists this ribosomal RNA (729 nucleotides) under uncultured marine diatom. RNAcentral's name for it is "SSU rRNA". It matches the Rfam family "Eukaryotic small subunit ribosomal RNA", at positions 440 to 1170 of the family's 1831-position model. The record is from RNAcentral. Lineage: Eukaryota; Bacillariophyta.